Molecule: transfer RNA, 59 nt
Filed under: Zenia insignis
Lineage: Eukaryota; Viridiplantae; Streptophyta; Magnoliopsida; Fabales; Fabaceae
Description: tRNA-Val
Source: RNAcentral
AGGGCUAUAGCUCAGUUAGGUAGAGCACCUCAUAAUAAAAAGUUUGAUCUGUUUUACCG